AGCGGCGUGGCUCAGUGGAAAGAGCCCGGGCUUGGGAGUCAGAGGUCAUGGGUUCGAAACCCGACUCCGCCA
Non-coding RNA from Ornithorhynchus anatinus (platypus), 72 nucleotides. Lineage: Eukaryota; Metazoa; Chordata; Mammalia; Monotremata; Ornithorhynchidae. The record is from Rfam.